RNAcentral lists this microRNA precursor (135 nucleotides) under Podarcis lilfordi (Lilford's wall lizard). Lineage: Eukaryota; Metazoa; Chordata; Lepidosauria; Squamata; Lacertidae. The record is from RNAcentral.
UGUGUGUGUGUGUGUGUGUGUGUGUGUGUGUGUGUUUUCAAAGAAAUUACAUUGGGCGGGAGUUAGACACCCCACCCAGUACUGCGGCUCUUGUCCAAUUCAACACACACACACACACACACACACACACACCUG